This 538-nucleotide ribosomal RNA is filed under the name uncultured Bacteroidota bacterium. Its description in RNAcentral is "bacterial SSU rRNA". It matches the Rfam family "Bacterial small subunit ribosomal RNA", at positions 76 to 611 of the family's 1533-position model. Lineage: Bacteria; Pseudomonadati; Bacteroidota. The record is from RNAcentral.
GAGCUUGCUCUUGAUGACGAGUGGCGCACGGGUGAGUAACGCGUAUGCAAUCUACCUAUAACUGAGGAAUAGCCCAGAGAAAUUUGGAUUAAUACCUCAUAGUAUUAUUAUUUGGCAUCAUUUAAUAAUUAAAACUCCGGUGGUUAUAGAUGAGCAUGCGUUCUAUUAGCUAGUUGGUGAGGUAAGAGCUCACCAAGGCUACGAUAGAUAGGGGGCCUGAAAGGGUGAUCCCCCACACUGGUACUGAGACACGGACCAGACUCCUACGGGAGGCAGCAGUGAGGAAUAUUGCACAAUGGAGGAAACUCUGAUGCAGCCAUGCCGCGUGCAGGAUGAAGGCCCUAUGGGUUGUAAACUGCUUUUUUACAAGAAGAAACCCUGGUACGUGUACCAACUUGACGGUAUUGUAAGAAUAAGCACCGGCUAACUCCGUGCCAGCAGCCGCGGUAAUACGGAGGGUGCAAGCGUUAUCCGGAUUUAUUAGGUUUAAAGGGUUCGCAGGCGGAAUUUUAAGUCAGUGGUGAAAGCCUACAGCUCA